CAGGUUUACCUGUGUGACUGCGUACCUUUUGUAUAAUGGGUCAGCGACUUAUAUUCUGUAGCAAGGUUAACCGUAUAGGGGAGCCGUAGGGAAACCGAGUCUUAACCGGGCGUUAAGUUGCAGGGUAUAGACCCGAAACCCGGUGAUCUAGCCAUGGGCAGGUUGAAGGUUGGGUAACACUAACUGGAGGACCGAACCGACUAAUGUUGAAAAAUUAGCGGAUGACCUGUGGCUGGGGGUGAAAGGCCAAUCAAACCGGGAGAUAGCUGGUUCUCCCCGAAAGCUAUUUAGGUAGCGCCUCGUGAAUUCAUCUCCGGGGGUAGAGCACUGUUUCGGCUAGGGGGCCAUCCCGGCUUACCAACCCGAUGCAAACUGCGAAUACCGGAGAAUGUUAUCACGGGAGACACACGGCGGGUGCUAACGUCCGUCGUGAAGAGGGAAACAACCCAGACCGCCAGCUAAGGUCCCAAAGUCAUGGUUAAGUGGGAAACGAUGUGGGAAGGCCCAGACAGCCAGGAUGUUGGCUUAGAAGCAGCCAUCAUUUAAAGAAAGCGUAAUAGCUCACUGGUCGAGUCGGCCUGCGCGGAAGAUGUAACGGGGCUAAACCAUGCACCGAAGCUGCGGCAGCGACGCUGAUGCGUUGUUGGGUAGGGGAGCGUUCUGUAAGCCUGCGAAGGUGGCCUGUGAGGGUUGCUGGAGGUAUCAGAAGUGCGAAUGCUGACAUAAGUAA
This 730-nucleotide ribosomal RNA is filed under the name Salmonella enterica. RNAcentral describes it as "partial 23S ribosomal RNA". It matches the Rfam family "Bacterial large subunit ribosomal RNA", at positions 580 to 1309 of the family's 2925-position model. The record is from RNAcentral. Lineage: Bacteria; Pseudomonadati; Pseudomonadota; Gammaproteobacteria; Enterobacterales; Enterobacteriaceae.